RNAcentral lists this non-coding RNA (27 nucleotides) under Mus musculus (house mouse). Lineage: Eukaryota; Metazoa; Chordata; Mammalia; Rodentia; Muridae. The record is from RNAcentral.
UAUCAACUUUUGCUGACCUAUGUAGAU